GUUCUUUCAUAUGGAAAUUUUCAUUUAAGAAGAAUAAAAGCAAAGGUCAGAUUUCAGAGAUGAAGUGAAAAUGUGAAGUGUUUCAUCUCUGGAGAGGUAGUAUAGAAACAGAGUAGCAGUCGUGGGCAUUCCAAGAACUCAGUACCAGAGCAUGGAGGGAUGGUGUGGCAGGGACAGCUCAGACACCUGCCGGAGGCUGGGGCGGAACCGGUAGUCGCAGGGAAUUUUAUUGGACUAUGAAACAGGAAGAAGGAUGCUGAAGACCAAAUCAUGAAAAGCCAUGUUACGUUAAUUAAGGAGUUUGAUCCUGACAUCAUCAGAGACUAUCAAGACUGGGAGACAACUUUAGGGAGAUGUUGGUCACAGGAUAAAAUUAUAUGGAAAGAAUAUUUGCAUUUUGGGGCAGAGAACUCUGGGGUGUUGUUUCUCCUUUACUUUUACUUGAAAAAGUGACAAAUAUGCAUGCUAGAAAAUUCAGAACAUAUAAAAGAAUGUUACACAUAUUUCUUUCAAAUUUUAAGGGUGUGAUUUUGUAUUGGGUUGAAGAGUGACACCUCCCCCCCCCCCAAUUCAUGGCUAUCUGGAACCUCACAAUGUGAUUUUCCUUGGAAAUAAGGUCUUUGCAGAUGUACUUAAGGUCAUACUCGAUUAGAAUGGGCCCUAAAUCUAAUGACUAGUGUCCUUAGAGGCCUCAUAGUCAUAUGAUGUAGACAGAAUGAGGGAAUUAAGAUCACGUAGAGAAGGGAGCAGAAAAUGGAAUGAUGCAGCUAUAAGUCAAGGAAUGCUGGGAACUGCUAGAAGCUAAGAGGCAAGGAAGGUUUAUUCCAAAGAGCCUUCUGAAGAAGCUUGGACCUCCUAAUAAUAUGAUUUCAGACUUCCAGCCUCAAACUGUGAGAGAAUAAAUUUCUGUUGUGUCAGCCCCCCAGUUUGUUGUACUUUUUUUGUGGCAACCCCAGGAAACAUGUAAGGCUCAAAGUAGAAAGGUAAUAAAAUUGUAUUAGUCCAAGUUAAUUUAUGUGGAUCCACCAAGCAGA
This 1034-nucleotide long non-coding RNA is filed under the name Marmota monax (woodchuck). Lineage: Eukaryota; Metazoa; Chordata; Mammalia; Rodentia; Sciuridae. The record is from RNAcentral.